Molecule: non-coding RNA, 408 nt
Organism: Chiloscyllium plagiosum (whitespotted bambooshark)
Lineage: Eukaryota; Metazoa; Chordata; Chondrichthyes; Orectolobiformes; Hemiscylliidae
Source: RefSeq, a predicted model, not a curated record
CAACUGCAUACAUUGUAACAGUUUCUGUCAGAGCAUUCUCUGGAGAAGAGGACACUAGUUUAAUAUUGUCUUUUAAAACCAAAGGUUUGAUUAACGUGUGUCUGAACAAUCCGUGUGGAGCCAAUGCCUCCUGUAUCCAGCAGGACGGAAGCUUCAGAUGCUCCUGUGGGACUGGCUACACCUGGAAUGGAUCUGUCUGUACAGAUGUGAAUGAAUGUGAAAGUGGAAGCCACGACUGUCACAGCUCGGCCUCCUGUUUCAACAGCCCCGGCUCUUUCCAAUGUGUGUGUGAGGCUGGCUACACUGGGGAUGGGAGGAACUGUACAGAUGUGAAUGAAUGUGAAAGUGGAAGCCACGACUGUCACAGCUCAGCCUCCUGUUUCAACAGCCCCGGCUCUUUCCAAUGUG